GGCAGGGGCAGGCUCUGUGAGGCUGCUUCCCAGGAGUACUCUCAGGUUGCCUGCACCUGGCUGUCCCUGGGCCUGUCCUUGUUCAGGGGACAUCAGGGUUGCUCUUAUGAUGCCAGCAGAGGAAGGUCCUGAGGGCCCUGUCAGGAUUCCAGCAAUGGGAGGAGAAAUGGGCGCUGUGCUCAUCGCUCACGAGUCAGCCAUAGGUGAGUCUGCAUCUUCUCUCCUGCAAGGAGCAAGACCUGGAUUGAGACGGGCAGCAUAGCUGGGAUGUGGGGAGGGCAGCAGCUGGGCCGUGUCCUCUGGAUCUGCCCUAGGGAGGCAGAGGUUCCCGGUGCAUUGGGAAGGUGGACCGGAAGGAGCCCAAGACAACCUGGGAUGUGCCUGGAAGGGAGCAUCUGAGCUGCUGGGGAUUCCACGCAGCAUCCUCGGCAGCUGAUGAGCGUGUAAGGACCAAAGCUGGGAAUGCCAGCAGGGGUGCCAGAGCUGGAAGUGUGUACGUAGCU
RNAcentral lists this long non-coding RNA (503 nucleotides) under Fukomys damarensis (Damara mole-rat). RNAcentral's name for it is "lncRNA (ENSFDAG00000031065.1)". The record is from RNAcentral. Lineage: Eukaryota; Metazoa; Chordata; Mammalia; Rodentia; Bathyergidae.